UGGGGAAUAUUGCGCAAUGGGGGCAACCCUGACGCAGCCAUGCCGCGUGAAUGAAGAAGGCCUUCGGGUUGUAAAGUUCUUUCGGUAGCGAGGAAGGCAUUUAGUUUAAUAAACUGGAUGAUUGACGUUAACUACAGAAGAAGCACCGGCUAACUCCGUGCCAGCAGCCGCGGUAAUACGGAGGGUGCGAGCGUUAAUCGGAAUAACUGGGCGUAAAGGGCACGCAGGCGGUGACUUAAGGUGAGGUGUGAAAGCCCCGGGCUUAACCUGGGAAUUGCAUUUCAUACUGGGUCGCUAGAGUACUUUAGGGAGGGGUAGAAUUCCACGUGUAGCGGUGAAAUGCGUAGAGAUGUGGAGGAAUACCGAAGGCGAAGGCAGCCCCUUGGGAAUGUACUGACGCUCAUGUGCGAAAGCGU
Molecule: ribosomal RNA, 416 nt
Filed under: uncultured bacterium
Lineage: Bacteria
Description: partial 16S ribosomal RNA
Rfam family: Bacterial small subunit ribosomal RNA
Source: RNAcentral